GAGUGCAACAGCUGAUCCCUUUCGGAGUGGAGUUUCCUAGCUGGUGCCUGUCCUCUCUUGAGCCUUUGUUUCUUGAGUGAGCACUCACUGGGGCUGUGGCUCCAUGAACUGGAUUUCAGGAAACCAGCCAAGGCAUUCUCUCUCUCUCUCCAUUCCUAGAAAGGCAGAAAGCCUGGGAAUGGGUUCGGCAGGAAGAUCUCUGUACCUCAAUCUCCAUUGCUUUCAGCACCACUGGCUUUCUCCCCAGCUCAAGUGCAAAACCUGCCAUCGUUGCUACCUGGGGUGCCUCAGACUCACCCAAGUCCCCCAGGCCAGAGGACAUGCUCUCAAGCCUUGUUUCAGAAAGAGGGACCCAAAGGCUGUUAGGGAAGAGAACCAGGGUCCUCAAACCCAGGGUUUUCUCACCCACUGCCUCUGCUCUGGCUGUGGCCUGCCAGACCUCUCCUCUGAUUUUCGCUUUCCUUCCUGCCAGUGCCUUUGUUUAUCCGAGGCGCCAAGAUCCCACUGUGAAGUCUGAAAGGAAGACCAGUGGUUCUCGCUUUUCCUCUAGAUGCUGUGUCUCCCAAUGUCAUCUUCUUUCCUCUCAAAGACAAUUGGACGUUGUUACAGAUUUUCUUGGAAUGAGUAAAUACCUAGCAGUGGGAUUGCUGGAUCAUAUGAAAAUGCCAGACUAUAUUUCAUCAGCAACAUCGGAGAGUUCCAGUUGCUCUACACCCUCACUAGCACUUAAUAUUGUUGAUCGCUGCCUGGAUUCACAGAAGGACAAAUUACAAUGCAUUUUGAAAGACUCGUCUACAGUCAACUAAAAUACCAGUUAUCACAGACUUCACUGGCCUUAAUGAGGAGGCUGAGAGGGAUUUAAUUACUGGGACAUGCAACGCUUACACCAAACUCUGUUCGAUUCACGACUUGGAAAAGCAAAUGUGGAUACAGAUGAGUGUGGACAUGGCUUCAGUAGGAAAUGUCGAGUUUGUUCAUCACUCUGAAGUUUCUUCAGCUGCAACGGAAACUGCACCCUCCCUCCCGACUUGUUGGUUAUCUUGCUGUGCUCCCAAGAAGGUAUUUUCUGCUGACCUGAUAGAUCAGACCUUUGUCAUUUUGAUUGAAAAGAUGUUUACCUGUUGGUCCCCAGCCUCACUCUUCUGAACCUCAGAUCCACUGAGUGUGUAUCCAGAGGUAAGUAUGUGGUAAGUAUGCUUGUCAUUUACAUUAUCUGUCAGCAUGAGUAUUGGUUUCCUAGAAACCUAAUAUUGAAAACACUUAGCAUUGCUAAAAGCAUUAAAUGAAAUAAAGACUCAAUAUAGCUGCACUAAUCUGUGCUUUCUAAAUUUACUGAUGGACGUGAAGAAAGUAGGUUGGCAUGGAGUUUAUACAAUUUAUGGAUCACACUGAUCUGAAUUCAGACAGUGUGUGCUCAGAUAAAAAUAUUGUUUCCUCCCAUGAGGUUUCCAAUUUUGCAGAGAAGAAUACCUCUGUUUAGCUCAUUACUUAACACAAUGGGUAGCUGGGUGGCCUUGCAUUCUGGAAGUGAAAUGACACAAGAAUGUCUCCACUGCAUUCUCCAGAGGUAAAGAUUCUCUGGCACAAAAUCACAACCAAGGUGGGGUUCCAAAACUAUAGAACAAAUGGCAGCAGCCAUGCAGCCAGCCUUGGUUCGGGUGGGCUGUAAAAGCAGAGGUUGUCCUCGUGUUAUCAGCACUGACUUCCUGUUGUGGCCACACUGACAGAGAUGAGAUGGCAGAAAGCAGGAAAGAGACCAGAGCUGCAAUUGACAGAUGGCUGGCCAAAGUUGAAGGGUCAGAGACUACACCAAAGACUUCUCAGAAAAUACUUGCCUAGGAGGCUCUCACUUGGAAAGAUAUUCAGGGUUGUUAAACAUAUCCUGUUAUUAGGAAAACGAGAGUUUUAUCUUUCUCUUACUCAGAAAGAAAAAACAAAAAGAAAAUUAGUGCUCUUAAGAAAAGCUAUUUUAAUGUUAUCCAUUAUAAAAUUAGAAAACCUUGAAAGGCAAAUGUUUCUUCUGACCAUUUACACUGAGCUUCUUUCAUUAUCUCAUAUGCAACCUUGUGGAUUGAAGGUGGAGAGUCCUUAGGAUUACCCAGGAACAUCCCUGUCUGCUCCCCCUGCUAGGCAGGAGGAGAUUUGAAACCACAUGUGUCUACUUCAUUUCUGUCACGGGUAGGACAGUGUCAUAUACUUUGUAGGUAACUCAAAGAUAUUAUAGGUAACUCAUAGAUAUUGAUUGAAUUAAUGUUUAAUAAAAUGAGAACACC
Molecule: long non-coding RNA, 2273 nt
Filed under: Homo sapiens (human)
Lineage: Eukaryota; Metazoa; Chordata; Mammalia; Primates; Hominidae
Description: long intergenic non-protein coding RNA 2880
Source: RNAcentral